UUACUGCUGGUCCUGGGAGUCUUUUCCUUCGGAGCAGGAGCCCCGUCCCGCGUCUGUCUUGAGCUCCCAGCAGGGAAAGUCCAUCAGCUUGAUAAUGGAGGAGAACAAUGACUCCACGGAGAACCCCCAACAAGGCCAAGGGCGGCAGAAUGCCAUCAAGUGUGGGUGGCUGAGGAAGCAAGGAGGCUUUGUCAAGACUUGGCAUACUCGCUGGUUUGUGCUCAAGGGGGAUCAGCUCUAUUAUUUCAAAGAUGAAGAUGAAACCAAGCCCUUGGUGAGUAGGAGAAAAUGUAAAGCAUUAAGGGCCUAAGAAAGCCAAGAAAUAGAGGGAUUUGCUAGAAACCGAUUGGGACUGAGACCACCCAAAGCUCCCUGGUCUCCUUCACCCUUUUACCCACUGCUUGCUUUGAGUUGGAGAUAAUAAAAUUGCUAAUUGAGGCCAAGAGGCAAAUUAUACUUGUCUAAUA
RNAcentral lists this small RNA (467 nucleotides) under Pongo abelii (Sumatran orangutan). RNAcentral's name for it is "retained intron". Lineage: Eukaryota; Metazoa; Chordata; Mammalia; Primates; Hominidae. The record is from RNAcentral.